Molecule: non-coding RNA, 104 nt
Organism: Brachypodium distachyon (stiff brome)
Lineage: Eukaryota; Viridiplantae; Streptophyta; Magnoliopsida; Poales; Poaceae
Source: Rfam
AGCUAUGAUGAGCAUUGCUUUCUUUCUGACACCUCUUGUAUGAGAAGCGCGCCUCUCUUUUGAGAAGUGCUCUUCGCUGAGCAGAGCAAGCAAAUGUCUGAGCU